This 449-nucleotide ribosomal RNA is filed under the name uncultured bacterium. RNAcentral's name for it is "partial 16S ribosomal RNA". It matches the Rfam family "Bacterial small subunit ribosomal RNA", at positions 29 to 523 of the family's 1533-position model. The record is from RNAcentral.
AACGAACGCUGGCGGCAGGCUUAAUACAUGCAAGUCGAGCGGGCACUUCGGUGUCAGCGGCGCACGGGUGCGUAACGCGUGGGAACAUGCCCUUAGGUACGGAACAACACAGGGAAACUUGUGCUAAUACCGUAUAAUAUCUCCGGAUCCAAGAUUUAUCGCCUAAGGGUUGGCCGGCGUUAGAUUAGGUAGUUGGUGGGGUAAUGGCCUACCAAGCCGACGAUCUAUAGCUGGUCUGAGAGGAUGAUCAGCCACACUGGAACUGAGACACGGUCCAGACUCCUACGGGAGGCAGCAGUAAGGAAUAUUGGACAAUGGGCGAAAGCCUGAUCCAGCCAUGCCGCGUGAGUGAUGAAGGCCUUAGGGUUGUAAAGCUCUUUUAGAUGGGAAGAUAAUGACUGUACCAUCAGAAUAAGCCCCGGCUAAAUUCGUGCCAGCCGCCGCCGUAA